Long non-coding RNA from Acanthochromis polyacanthus (spiny chromis), 869 nucleotides. RefSeq lists it as uncharacterized. The record is from RefSeq and is a predicted model, not a curated record. NCBI's taxonomy places the organism in Eukaryota, Metazoa, Chordata, Actinopteri, Pomacentridae. The transcript is spliced from 2 exons.
UGUGCUUUUGCUUGUAAUGGUGUUAUAUCCACCACAAGGUGGCGCCUGUCGCUCCCUGAUGAGUCUGGGAGGACUGUGGCGGACGGGAGAGAAACAGGAAGUAGGAGAAGAAAAAUGAGACGAACGUUACAAGAAGCGAGAAAAGCUCAUUGUUUUCUGUGUGGGGAGACUGAAUAAGUCGACGAAAUUCACUAUUUUUUGUUCUUUUGGUUCAGAAGUUGAUAUUUUUGAAGCUACGCCUGUUAUCAGAGGACGGAAGCAGAUGGAUAUUUGAUGUGUCUAUGUGUCUAUUCUCCGGUUGUUUUUUUGUGCCUGAUAUCUACAUGGAGGAAACGGCGACAGGGCGGUUUUCGAGGCGUUGGAGGUGUUUCGGUCGUUGCCAUAACUACGGGAAGAGCCGCUCUGUGGACUGGAUCUGAACUUCGAUUGGAGGACAGAUAAGAUUUCCACACAAGAAAAGAAACACAUAUGGGAAAACAGAAACUGAAAUGACUGAAACUGAACUACUGUGGAAGAAAUUCCGACUGACUUUUUAUUUCUUUUGACUUGACUAAAUAACUUAAGAAGCUUCUUUGGGGAAAGGAAAUAUAACUGGAAUUUGUUUAUUUUGUUUAUAAAAUCUACUGUGUAGUAAAGAAGAAAAAGUUACAGUUGUACCCGGGUACAGUAAAUUUUAUUUUGUUAAUUAUCUUUAUUCCUAUGUGCUCAAACCUCUCUGGAGGAACAGAGAUGAAUUUAUUUCCUUGCCGAAUGUGAUGCACAGUACUUUACUUUUUUAUUUUCUUUCUGUUAAAGCCGAGUGUAGCAGGUGAAUCAGCGCUAAGAGAGACAUCCUUUGUUAUUAAAUGCACCCAGUUGUUUCAAACGAA